AUGCAAAUUGACCCUCUUCUAUUUGUCACUCUUCCUGAUGGAGAUUACAAACCUCGACAUGUUCCUACAUCGUCAAGCAAUCAAAGGGACCUUGAUUCUUGUAUUGAUUUAUUGCUAAAGUUACAUUGUCAUAGGUUCAAUAUGACGCCAAAUAGGGCUAAGUGGACAGCAAGGUAUGAGAAAGGCCUCGUGGAGGUACUUAGAGAGUACAAUCUAUCUCAUUACCGUGGACAAAAUGGGUGGACUACGGAAGGUUGGAAUCAAGUUGUCAAGGAACUGAACAAUUUAUAUCCAGAGGCAAGGUUUACCAAGGAUCAGGUUCAAGAUAAGGAAGCUCAGUUGAAAAAGCACUACAAAAAUAUCAAGUUGAUAGUCAACCGCUCUGGAAUAUCAUGGAAUGAUAUUGCAUGUGUGAUCAACACCACGCCUGAAAAAUGGGAAGAGAUCAUUGCAGAGGACCCAAAGCUCAAAAUGUAUGAAGGAAAGAGCUUCCCAUUGUACGAGGCAUUGGGUGUGCUCUAUGAAGGACAUAUUGCGCAAGGAAGACAUUGCCUGACAUCAAGGAAGCCUCCGAUUGGCACAAAAACAGGUAGCAACUUUGGAGCAAAGGAUAAGAUGGUUGCAAGAACUAGCAAGAAAAAUACAAGACAUGGAAGAGAUGACAACAUAAGGACUUCUUCAAUAAUUGACAUCAAUGAUACUCCUACAUUAGAUGAUGUGGAUGAAAGAGAGAACACUGUCAAUGACGAGGAAGAAUUAGGCAGUGAAGAUGCUGAUGGUGAUCAAUCACAAAUAAGUGAAUCAAGUGCCAAAGGGAAAAAACUAAGAAACAAAAAGGUGCCACAUCUGUACAGCGCCUUGAAGAUUCCAUGA
This 873-nucleotide ribosomal RNA is filed under the name Triticum aestivum (bread wheat). RNAcentral describes it as "partial small subunit ribosomal RNA". Lineage: Eukaryota; Viridiplantae; Streptophyta; Magnoliopsida; Poales; Poaceae. The record is from RNAcentral.